Molecule: transfer RNA, 74 nt
Filed under: Promethearchaeota archaeon
Lineage: Archaea; Promethearchaeati; Promethearchaeota
Also listed under: 1 other name
Description: tRNA-Pro
Rfam family: tRNA
About the family: Transfer RNA (tRNA) molecules are approximately 80 nucleotides in length. Their secondary structure includes four short double-helical elements and three loops (D, anti-codon, and T loops).
Source: RNAcentral
GGGAACGUAGUCUAGCUUGGUAUGAUACUUGGUUCGGAACCAAGUGAUCCUGAGUUCAAAUCUCAGCGUUCCCA